GGAAAAGUCUGCGGAGUUCCUGAGAGAAGAUGCAGCCCCUGUUCAGAGCUGUCUCCUGCACCUGGCCACUGAACGGAUGGUGAUUCCUCUCUCCCACAAACAGAGCUCUCAAAGAAAAUGCAGAUAAAUUCUGCUGCAGAGCGCCUGGAUGAUGCAGCUGCUUUUCCUGAUGAACUCAUCUCGCCUCCCAGCGCAACCUGCCCCGUCUAACCCCGCCGCCGCCUCUCCCUCCCUCGCACGCCCCCCCUGCCGUAUCCUGCACCCCCUGCUCCCACCGCGCACCCGUCCUUCUCCUGCCGUGGGCUGGGCCGCGGCGGCGAUGGGAACCGGACCUCUGAUCCCAGACCUCCCCAGAGCGGUGCGUUUGCCUUUGCAGGGCUCGCGGGGCGGGAGCCAGCGCUGGCUGCAUGCCGAGGUGCUGGGCACACGUGCGCGCCCGGAACCGGGGGCGAGAAAGGAGGAUGUGAUUCCAGUGCGGGUGGCCUUUUCCAGGGCUGCUCUGUGCCAGACCCUCACGAGAAAGCACAUCCUCGCCGUGUUGCAACACGGAGCCUCUCUUCCUGCUCCACGAGCCGCGGGGCCAGCAGAGGCCUUCCUCCCAGCACCGAGAUGCUGAGAUCACGUCCUCGAGCGCUUGCCCACGUCCCUCAACUCUGGUCCCUCCAUGGCCUGUUAUGCUGCCGUGAUACCCCCUGGACUCUAGGCAGCAGUGCUAAGACCAAGCUUGAGACUUCCAGCUUGAUCCUCAAGCUGCCUGAGGAGACACUUUAUGGUGUGAAGAGAAAAAGUAAACAGAGAAGAUAUAAAGGAAGAAGAUACCAUGUUCUUUGAGGAUAAGUGAUUUUAACAGAAAUUCUGUUUUGGUAAGAAUGUUUUUGACAGUUUAAUGAACAUUAGGAAGGUCUGUAUAGUAUGGAUAUAUCAAUAUGCCAUUAGGGUGAAAUGUUUUACAUUAUUAAAAUAGGCUUAUCUAUAUUGCUCAAUAUUUUGAGAAGUGCUGAAUGUCUUUAAAGGGCUAUAUAAAUGCACUUUACUUAUUUCCAAGAUAGUCUUCCUUUAUAGUUUGGAGUAAUAUAUUAACUUAUGUGGUUAUUUGCCAUUAAAUUGAUGACAGUGUAUUUAUCAGUGAUGUUAAACCUUCUACAUAUUCCACAAGGAUAAACUUGAGGUG
Molecule: long non-coding RNA, 1171 nt
Organism: Dromaius novaehollandiae (emu)
Lineage: Eukaryota; Metazoa; Chordata; Aves; Casuariiformes; Dromaiidae
Exons: 4
Source: RefSeq, a predicted model, not a curated record